Molecule: ribosomal RNA, 526 nt
Filed under: uncultured Porphyromonadaceae bacterium
Lineage: Bacteria; Pseudomonadati; Bacteroidota; Bacteroidia; Bacteroidales; Porphyromonadaceae
Description: bacterial SSU rRNA
Rfam family: Bacterial small subunit ribosomal RNA
Source: RNAcentral
CUAGAGGAACGUUUUGGUAGUCCUCGGCUCCAGGGAAUGAAACGGACUAGCGACAAGGCUUACACAUGCGAAGUCGAGGGGCGAUCGGGGAGUAGCAAUACUCUGCCGGCGACCGGCGCACGGGUGAGUAACGCGUAUGGAACCUGCCCUGUACAGGGAAUAGCCCAUGGAAACGUGGAUUAAUGUCCCAUAUGACAUUCGGGAGGCAUCUUUCGGGUGUAAAAAUUUUCGGAGGUACAGGAUGGCCAUGCGUCCUAUUAGAUAGUUGGCGGGGUAACGGCCCACCAAGUCGAUGAUAGGUAGGGGUUCUGAGAGGAAGGUCCCCCACAUUGGAACUGAGACACGGUCCAAACUCCUACGGGAGGCAGCAGUGAGGAAUAUUGGUCAAUGGGCGCGAGCCUGAACCAGCCAAGUCGCGUGAGGGAAGACUGCCCUAUGGGUUGUAAACCUCUUUUAUUCGGGAAGAAUAAGCCUUACGAGUAGGGUGAUGCCUGUACCGAAUGAAUAGGCAUCGGCUAACUCCGUG